GUUCUCCCCACAUAUGGGCAGAGGCUCAGUCCUGUCUUCUGCAUUUUGCAUCCAUGGUUAGAAGCCUUCCUACCUGACGUCUCCUAACCUGGUCACAUGGGAGCUCCCUGAAGGUCCAUGCUGAUUCCUGCCAGCUGGACGUUUCCUGGAAUUAUCUUUUCCUCUUCAUCUGCUUAGGUGAACUCAAUUCAGCCUUCAAGACCUAGCUGUGAAGGACCAUUUUGACCUCAUCCAAGAGCAGGCAUGUUCCCUUCAUUCCCAACCUGCAAUGUGUCUUUGACCAUUAAUACUUUUCAGAGUGACCACAAUUUCACUAGCUAAGGAUGGAAACCUCAGGCUGCCACUUAUUGAACACUUUAUGCUGGGUCCUAAGUCCUUGAUAUUGUAUCUCACUUGGUUCUCAGAACAUCCCCAAAAGUGGUUGAUUGAUCACCCCUGGACAGACAGGCAUUGACAUUCAGGGCCAUUGAAUAACUCAACUAUGGUAGUGAUGUGGCAUAAACAGAACAGUGGGAUCUCAAGAGGAGUCCGACUCCAAUGUUAACAACAUGAUUACCCUAAGCUACAUUCCAUCAGUUGCCACAUCUGUUGGGACAGCUGUUAUUAAGAGUGACCCCAAGGCCAAGAGAUCUUCCUCCAACUAUUCUUGCAGAAUGUUGGCUUCCUUAAAGUUUCCUCCAGUAUUUUUGGUGAAUCUGAGAGGGUCCCUCACUUGUGCUUAUGUCAAAUCCCCAUGGCUGUCAUUGCUUCCUGCCAUAUACCUGCUGGGCAUCAUGGGGUCAAUGCAGCAGCUCCUGGACACUUGGGGUAUGUCCGAGCUGGAUUCUGGCUGUUGGGCUCCUGGUCUCCACCAGGUGUCAUGCUUUCUCCUUCCAGGCACUGACCUUUAGACUGUCCACCAUCUCCAGCAGGGAACAGCAGCUCCUUUAGAUACCUUCCCCUGUGCCUCACCUGGGGAGCAAGAUCUUGAACUGUUGAAAUGUGGUCCCCAAUGUAACAGUAUCAAGAGGCGGCAGGACCAUUAAGAAGUGACUUGAUAGGUGAAUGGAUUAAAAAAUGUGGCAUUUACACACAAUGGAAUAUUACUCAGCAAUAAAAGAGAAUAAAACCAUGGCAUUUGCAGGUAAUGGAUGGCGUUGGAGGAGAUAAUGCUAAGUGAAGUUAGCCAAUCCCCAAAAAAACAAAUGCAGA
RNAcentral lists this long non-coding RNA (1191 nucleotides) under Marmota monax (woodchuck). The record is from RNAcentral. Lineage: Eukaryota; Metazoa; Chordata; Mammalia; Rodentia; Sciuridae.